Non-coding RNA from Paramuricea clavata, 188 nucleotides. Lineage: Eukaryota; Metazoa; Cnidaria; Anthozoa; Malacalcyonacea; Plexauridae. The record is from the annotation of a GenBank genome assembly.
UUUGACAGCUCUAAUUGCUUUGAAUUAAUGGUUGGGUAAGAACACAAGGUCUUGUACUCAUGGGACAAAACUCAAAGAUUAAAUAAAAAUUAGAAAAUUUAAUAGUUUUUAAGACUUUUGUCCCAUGAGUACGACGAGACCUUGUGUUCUUACCCAACCAUUAAUUCAAAGCAAUUAGAGCUGUCAAA